Molecule: long non-coding RNA, 1905 nt
Organism: Alligator mississippiensis (American alligator)
Lineage: Eukaryota; Metazoa; Chordata; Crocodylia; Alligatoridae
Exons: 4
Source: RefSeq, a predicted model, not a curated record
CCACACCACAAUACCGGGUGGCAGCUUGCACAGGUGCUGGUUACACUGCCCCGUGCAGGCUGAGCCCUAUUUGCACCCAAGCACUGUUCACGUGUGCAGUAAGGACCAGCCCGUCUGCCCCAUCUCUGCACAAAUGGGCUGGAGCAGGAGGAGGGUCUGCUUUUUGCCCAGUUCUGCCUCCCUUGCACCCGUGAGUGACACCCACAGGGACAGCCCCACUGGCUUGUAGGGCUGGUAGUGGGAGGGUGUCACAGGACAAGUGCUAUAGGUCAGAGGCCCUAAGUGUGGACUGGGGACCCAGUCCUGCCAUCUGCUCCCAGGCAGCAUUCCUGCUGAAGCCAGCACUGAUUGUGUGUAGAGCAGAGGCCGCUUUGUCAGUAAGAAUCACAGCUACUGGCUGAUCUGUUUUCAUUUUCUCUCCCUCUGUUCUUCCCCAGGACUCUCCACCAGAGCUGGGACCUGCCAGAGCACAAAGACAUGCAGGCCAUGUCAUCAUGGAGACGGACAUUUCUUCAUUCCUCCUUGGCCCUGCAGUGAUCCCUCUUCUGCCUGGCUGCAUCACUGUCCUUGUUACACUCCAGAUCCACCAGCUGAUGGCAGUUCCAAGUGGUCGGACCAGACCAGCCGGUCGUUGUCUCUGUGGGAGAAGAUGCUGUCCUCCCCUGCCACCUCUCCCCCAGCAUGAGCGCUGAGGACAUGGAGGUGCGGUGGGUCCAGUCCCUGUUCUCAUCCUACGUGCACUUAUACCAACGUGGACAGGAUCAGGAUGGGCAGCAGAUGCCUGAAUAUCAAGAGAGGACUUCUCUCAUAAAGGAUGACAUCACCAGUGGGAGCAUCUCCCUAAUAAUACGCAGUGUCCUACCUUCUGACCACGGGCAGUACAAGUGCUUUUUCCAGUCUGAUGUCUCCUAUGAAGAAGCCCUGUUGGAACUGCAGGUGACAGGCGAGUGCCUCUGCUGUUGGGACCUGUCUAGAGUAUAAUGGGGCUGUUAGGCUCAGUAGGAGGUGACAAUAAUUCACUUGUCAGCACCCAGAGUCUUCUCUCAACCUUCAGUGCCUGCAGUUUAGGGAGCCUUCAGUGCUGGCAGAGGCAGCAUAGAUAGCCCAGCCAGGGGGCUGGAGAGGGGGCUGUGCUGAGCCCCCUCUCCAGCCCCCUGGCUCUGUUAUGUAUGCUGCCUCUGCCAGCACUGGUGCUCACCUGGAGCCAUACCUGGCAGGGGCUGGAGGCUCCCGCCUUGUGGAAAGGAGGCAGGAGUCCCUUCAUCGGCUUCACUCCUCCCCGGCUCCUCUUUCUCUCCACCCCUUGCCUGAGACACUGCUGCUACCAUGAGAGGUCUUUACAUGGCGCCCAGCUCUGGGGUGAAUUGUAUCACAGCUGCUGUUCAGCUGUGUGCUGAACGACACUAGACAAUCCUCAACUUGAUGGCUACUGCAAGAGGGUUAACUCCAUGGCUGCUUGGCGAAGCAUACACCUCCUGUCCCCAGCAAUGGUGUUUUCUAUGAGGGAGGAGGGGCAGGGGCAGGAUGAGAGGACUCCUGCCCCCUGCUGCCAUUCUGGACCUCACCUGUAUCUGUUCUUAUGCUCCCCCCAACCCCUUAGUCACCACUUGGGGCUCCUGCCCUGCUCACCUGGCCCCAGUUACUUUCCUAAGUGUUGGUGUUUGUUUCCUGGGAGCAAACUAGAAGGGCUUUCAUCAUGUGCCCUGUCCUUAGGGUGGCCUGCACGCUGUCCUAGAGGGGUGAGGAUGGAGCAGGUUUCAGUUUCACAGAAGUUUGAAAGCCUGAUUUUGUAAAAUAAUUUCUUUAUAACUGGGGAAAAGAAAGAAAAUGUGAAUGAGAUGAUGUGAGCUGGGAUGAGCAUGGGAGCUGUUCAUUGCCGUUGAAGAGAUGCAGUAACAGAUCCCA